RNAcentral lists this ribosomal RNA (917 nucleotides) under uncultured archaeon. Its description in RNAcentral is "bacterial SSU rRNA". It matches the Rfam family "Archaeal small subunit ribosomal RNA", at positions 1 to 922 of the family's 1478-position model. The record is from RNAcentral.
UUUCCGGUUGAUCCUGCCAGGACCUGACUGCUAUCGGACUGAUAGUAAGUCCAUGCGAGUCAUUGUAGUAAUACAAGGCAGACGGCUCAGUAACGCGUAGUCAACAUACCCUAUGGACGGGAAUAACCUCGGGAAACUGAGUAUAAUGCCCGAUAGAACACUAUACCUGGAAUGGUUUGUGUUCCAAAUGAUUUAUCGCCGUAGGAUGGGACUGCGGCCUAUCAGUUUGUUGGUGAGGUAAUGGCCCACCAAGACUAUUACAGGUACGGGCUCUGAGAGGAGUAGCCCGGAGAUGGGUACUGAGACACGGACCCAGGCCCUAUGGGGCGCAGCAGGCGAGAAAACUUUGCAAUGUGCGAAAGCACGACAAGGUUAAUCCGAGUGGUUUGUGCUAAACGAACCUUUUGACAGUCCUAGAAACACUGUUGAAUAAGGGGUGGGCAAGUUCUGGUGUCAGCCGCCGCGGUAAAACCAGCACCUCAAGUGGUCAGGAUGAUUAUUGGGCCUAAAGCAUCCGUAGCCGGCUCUGUAAGUUUUCGGUUAAAUCUGUACGCUCAACGUACAGGCUGCCGGGAAUACUGCAGAGCUAGGGAGUGGGAGAGGUAGACGGUACUCGGUAGGAAGGGGUAAAAUCCUUUGAUCUAUUGAUGACCACCUGUGGCGAAGGCGGUCUACCAGAACACGUCCGACGGUGAGGGAUGAAAGCUGGGGGAGCAAACCGGAUUAGAUACCCGGGUAGUCCCAGCUGUAAACUAUGCAAACUCAGUGAUGCAUUGGCUUGUGGCCAAUGCAGUGCUGCAGGGAAGCCGUUAAGUUUGCCGCCUGGGAAGUACGUACGCAAGUAUGAAACUUAAAGGAAUUGGCGGGGGAGCACCACAAGGGGUGAAGCCUGCGGUUCAAUUGGAUUCAACGCCGGG